GAGAGCAGACUGGCACUGAAAAAGGAGAAGGCAGUGAUGCAGUAUGGGAAAUGCAGAUUGCAAUGCAGUGAAAAGACAUAGGUCAGUUGAAAUAUGCCCUAUGCAUAGAUGAGUAAAGGAUGCCAGAAAAUGGUUAAGGCUGGUACUGCAUUUAUUUUAAAUGAGGAUAUCAAAUGCACUGAGAAGAUGAGGGCAGCAAAGCAGCAAGCAAUGGGGAUUGUAGUAAAGCAGCAAGGGAUAGGAAGUUAUUGGCCGUACAGGUCAAUAGAGCCUUGCAAAGGACAGAGUCUGGUGUUGGUCUUGCCCUGCACAAAUGCUAGACUAGGGCUUUAAUAAGAGUGAUCUGAGCAGAGGGAAAGGUGGCAAUAUGUCAAAUAUUACAGAAUACUGAAAAACAUUACAGAAUACUGAAAAGUGAUUAGGAAUUAUACUCAAGGGCACCAAUUGCAUUAUUGAAAUUUUUAUGUAAAAAAUAUAUUACAAAAAUUGAAUUAGAUUUUU
Molecule: non-coding RNA, 501 nt
Organism: Pelobates cultripes (western spadefoot toad)
Lineage: Eukaryota; Metazoa; Chordata; Amphibia; Anura; Pelobatidae
Source: the annotation of a GenBank genome assembly